GAUGAACGCUGGCGGCGUGCCUAAUACAUGCAAGUCGAGCGAACAGACGAGGAGCUUGCUCCUUUGACGUUAGCGGCGGACGGGUGAGUAACACGUGGGUAACCUACCUAUAAGACUGGGAUAACUUCGGGAAACCGGAGCUAAUACCGGAUAAUAUUUCGAACCGCAUGGUUCGAUAGUGAAAGAUGGCUCUGCUAUCACUUAUAGAUGGACCUGCGCCGUAUUAGCUAGUUGGUAAGGUAACGGCUUACCAAGGCAACGAUACGUAGCCGACCUGAGAGGGUGAUCGGCCACACUGGAACUGAGACACGGUCCAGACUCCUACGGGAGGCAGCAGUGGGGAAUCUUCCGCAAUGGGCGAAAGCCUGACGGAGCAACGCCGCGUGAGUGAUGAAGGUCUUCGGAUCGUAAAACUCUGUUAUUAGGGAAGAACAAACGUGUAAGUAACUGUGCACGUCUUGACGGUACCUAAUCAGAAAGCCACGGCUAACUACGUG
RNAcentral lists this ribosomal RNA (497 nucleotides) under uncultured bacterium. Its description in RNAcentral is "partial 16S ribosomal RNA". It matches the Rfam family "Bacterial small subunit ribosomal RNA", at positions 28 to 507 of the family's 1533-position model. The record is from RNAcentral.